GGGUUCUUAGCUCAGUUGGUAGAGCGGCGGUCUCCAAAACCGUAGGUCGAGGGUUCAAGUCCUUCAGGGCCCGCCA
Molecule: transfer RNA, 76 nt
Filed under: Deinococcus radiodurans
Lineage: Bacteria; Thermotogati; Deinococcota; Deinococci; Deinococcales; Deinococcaceae
Also listed under: 24 other names
Description: tRNA-Trp
Rfam family: tRNA
About the family: Transfer RNA (tRNA) molecules are approximately 80 nucleotides in length. Their secondary structure includes four short double-helical elements and three loops (D, anti-codon, and T loops).
Source: RNAcentral